UUGGUACUCCCUCCGCCCGAAAUUAGUUGUUGUAGAAUUGUAUAAAAAUGGAUAUAUUUAAAAUUAAGAUACAUCUAGAUACAUUCAUUCCUAUGACAAGUAUUUUUCGACGGAGGGAGUAUAUG
This 125-nucleotide microRNA precursor is filed under the name Hordeum vulgare. RNAcentral describes it as "microRNA MIR1122". It matches the Rfam family "MIR1120/MIR1122 microRNA precursor family". Lineage: Eukaryota; Viridiplantae; Streptophyta; Magnoliopsida; Poales; Poaceae. The record is from RNAcentral.